AUUGAACGCUGGCGGCAUGCCUUACACAUGCAAGUCGAACGGUAACGGGCCUUCGGGUGCCGACGAGUGGCGCACGGGUGAGUAAUACAUCGGAACGUGCCCGAUCGUGGGGGAUAACGAGGCGAAAGCUUUGCUAAUACCGCAUACGAUCUACGGAUGAAAGCAGGGGACCGCAAGGCCUUGCGCGGACGGAGCGGCCGAUGGCAGAUUAGGUAGUUGGUGGGAUAAAAGCUUACCAAGCCGACGAUCUGUAGCUGGUCUGAGAGGAUGAUCAGCCACACUGGGACUGAGACACGGCCCAGACUCCUACGGGAGGCAGCAGUGGGAAUUUUGGACAAUGGGCGCAAGCCUGAUCCAGCCAUGCCGCGUGCAGGAUGAAGGCCUUCGGGUUGUAAACUGCUUUUGUACGGAACGAAAAGCCUUCUUUUAAUACAGGAGGGUCAUGACGGUACCGUAAGAAUAAGCACCGGCUAACUACGUG
This 481-nucleotide ribosomal RNA is filed under the name uncultured bacterium. RNAcentral's name for it is "partial 16S ribosomal RNA". It matches the Rfam family "Bacterial small subunit ribosomal RNA", at positions 30 to 507 of the family's 1533-position model. The record is from RNAcentral.